AUGGGGUCGCAGCACCAUGGGGACCGGGAGGAGCUCGGCUCCGCUCGGGCGUUGCAGGCUGAUGGUGGAGGAGACGCGCGGGCGAGGUGGUUCCUAGUCACCGUAGAGGAAGCAGAGGACGGCGCGGGUCCUGCGACGAUGGAGAACGGCAAGGGCGGCGGAGGCCAUCCGGAUCUGGACGAGGGGCUCCUCCCCUGGCGACGGAAGGAGCGGCUCGGGGUCUUGGAUGGCGACGCGGGGCCUGACGGCAGCUUGGCGCGGGCUCCGGGGCCGUCGGAGUUGGCCAAGCUCGGGGACGAGCUCCCGGCGACGAGGCGCUGA
Molecule: ribosomal RNA, 321 nt
Filed under: Triticum aestivum (bread wheat)
Lineage: Eukaryota; Viridiplantae; Streptophyta; Magnoliopsida; Poales; Poaceae
Description: partial small subunit ribosomal RNA
Source: RNAcentral